GACGAACGCUGGCGGCGUGCCUAAUACAUGCGAGUAGAACGCACAGUUUAUACCGUAGCUUGCUACACCAUAGACUGUGAGUUGCGAACGGGUGAGUAACGCGUAGGUAACCUGCCUGGUAGCGGGGGGUAACUAUUGGAAACGAUAGCUAAUACCGCAUAAUAUUAAUUAUUGCAUGAUAAUUGAUUGAAAGAUGCAACUGCAUCACUACCAGAUGGACCUGCGUUGUAUUAGCUAGUAGGUGAGGUAACGGCUCACCUAGGCGACGAUACAUAGCCGACCUGAGAGGGUGAUCGGCCACACUGGGACUGAGACACGGCCCAGACUCCUACGGGAGGCAGCAGUAGGGAAUCUUCGGCAAUGGACGAAAGUCUGACCGAGCAACGCCGCGUGAGUGAAGAAGGUUUUCGGAUCGUAAAGCUCUGUUGUAAGAGAAGAACGGGUGUGAGAGUGGAAAGUUCACACUGUGACGGUAUCUUACCAGAAAGGGACGGCUAACUACGUG
Molecule: ribosomal RNA, 505 nt
Filed under: uncultured bacterium
Lineage: Bacteria
Description: partial 16S ribosomal RNA
Rfam family: Bacterial small subunit ribosomal RNA
Source: RNAcentral